UUAAAUAGGGAUAUACAAAAUAAGUUAUAAAACAAAUCAAAGUGUGCUUACUUAAUUAAUUUCAAACUUCUUAUCAUUUAGAAAUUCAGAGGGUAUUAGACAGGCGAUCGAUUUAGCAAAGUAGAGAGUAUACCAAUAAGUGCAAGAGUGUUUUUAUGCCAAAAGAUACAAAUCGGUUUCCAAUUGUAGUAAAUUUAGUUCAACCUUACAGUUUCCAAUUGCAGGAUGGUAAUACUUAUUGAAUGAUUCGUCUAGUAACUAAUGAGUUGAAUUUUGGAGGGGGGGGGGUUAAUUAAUUUUUAUUGCUAAGCACGAGUGGAAGUCUUUUGAAUUAUUUGAGCACGCGAGUGCAAAAUUUUCAAAAUCUUAGUGCGAACACCGAACACACUGUUGCCCUACGAGCGGGAGCGCAAACUUGAUGAGAGCGCAUUGCAUUAUCAAUUCGAUUCAAUUCAUAUUAUUUUUCCCCGAACAAGUCAGAUUUGCAAAAUAUUCUUUGCAAAAGUUUGGAAAAUCAUUUGAUGCACACGAUUAUUAUUUUAUUUUUCCACAUUGCUAUAAAAUCAUUGUUUACUUUCAAUUUUUGAGCAAUAUUUUAUUUAAAAAUAAAAUGAUAUUUAUCCUAUCAUGCGUACGCAGCUAGCCGAAUAUUGUACUCUUUUGUAAUCUGGCUCUACACAUAUGAAAGAUGUUUUUUAAGCGCAGAAGCGAGUAAUCAGAGCAAUACUGGUGUCCAAUAUUGGCGAAGUAAUGCGGCACUUGACUCAUGUAGACCACUAUUUGUGAAAUUUGGAGUUCUUACAGUCUAUUCAUUAUAUAUUUUGAAGUGCGUUAAGUUUGUGCGUAAAUUUCCUGAAAAGUUUAAAAUGAAUCGUGAUGUUCCAGGUGUUGUAGUGCGAACUACGCGUGCUACCAGCUAUGUAGAAACAGAUUUAUUUGUAAGGCCAAGCUCACUAAAUUGCGUAAAUGAAAAUCCGGAGAUAAUGAUUGCCAGAAUAUACAACAAAUUACCUAAUGUACUGAAAGAAAUAUCUGACUAUGGCAACUUUUUGUUAAAAGUGUCAAAUAUGUAAUGCCGAAAUAUCAAUUUUAUGAUAUGAACGAAUAUUGGAGAUGUAAUUUUAAGCUCUUAGAAUUAACACAGUGAACUGAGCUACAGGGUUUUCGGGGGUGGUUUUCCCCUGUAGUAAACGAGGAGGGGUAGUAAAGGAGGAGAGUUGGAGUUGAGCAGCCGCAGCGAGUGGACGUGCCGGCACACCGCUCGCGCGGCAGAAAAAAGUAGCGAACGUUUCGCUGCUUUCCUGCAAUUUUGGUGCACAAUUUGGACAUUGUCUCGUGACUGCCUGAAUAGUGUGACUUCUGUGGCCCGAUAUUUUUGGAAGCAAUCAAGAUUUUCUAAAGGUCAGUGAAGAUGGACGCCAAGAAAUGUAUCAGGUCUGCCUCGCAGGGACUGGCUGUUUCUCAAGAGAGCGAGCUCGCCCAGCUUCUUGCAACACAGGGUGAAGUCAGAGAUUUAUUGAACGAAAUUCUCAAAUUUUUGAAACUGAGUGACACGUCCGACGCUUCGGUGCAAAAAUUAUCUGCUGCAAUCGAACACAGCGUCAGCAAAUUUGCGCGACCCAGUUCAGCGGCAGGUGCAAGCGGAUGCGUGCCAGUCAAAACAAACAGCGUCAACAAAAAUGCAGCGACUCAAAAGACGAAGCGAAACAUCGUGAAAAUGAAUGACAACAAGGAGAACGGCAAACAACUGCGCGCGGUAGCGAAAAACGGUGAGCAGCCGAAAUCUGCUGACCAUCUCGGACACACAGCUCCUGCGGCUGAGAGAAAAGAUUGGACCGAUGAAGACAGGGCCAUGCUUAGGGACUUCAGAAGAAUAAUUCGGCAGAGGAGAUCUCCUGAGUACCAAGGCAAGGUUAAGUUUGAGUAUAAAUGUAUGGACAUCGCUGAAGCGGAAGAGGAUGUUGUCGCCCACCUAGUCGGAGCUAACCUGAAAAAUACCAAGGGUGCGGCGAAGGCCUUGAUUGACAAGUUUGGCGCCAUCAACGCGCCGGGCUCAAAUAUUCGCAUCGGCAGUAUCGUCAUGCAAAGCAUAGAGGGGGAUCGAGCGAUUUGGCACGUUGCAUCCAAAGAGAGAACAGGUGACAAGAAGCACAAAAACCCGGGAAGGUUUUACAGAAAUGAGGUGGCUGCUCUUACUGCUUUGCAUGACAAAAUGAGGGAACAAAAACUUCAGAAAAUUGCCAUAACUAAAUUGGGAGCUGGAUUGGAUGGCAUUCCAUGGAAAUUCACAAAACAAAAGCUGAGAGAGAUCUUCGCAGAUGAUGACGUUACUCUGGUAGUGCACUACCUUCCUCGGAGGGAAGAGUUGCAGCGCGCCCCUUCAUCUCCGACAAACAGGACCUGGAGAACUGCUGGGUCGUGGACGCACAAGUCGAAGAGCUUUGUCGUAGGUAAAGCAACAAAGAAGCAAAGGACACUGCCCGUUUCGGAUAUGCUUGAGAGCGGCUCUUCGUCUAAUGCAACACUGGGAGGUGACGAGGAAACGCUGCUCGAUCGCCUAAACGUCACUUUGAGUAGUAUGAGAUCGGAAAUACAGCAGACCCGACAGAGCAUCGAGGAGCCGGCUACUGAGCGUUGUUCGUCACCAGGAAUCUCGACAUUCGUCCCUGAGGAUAAUAAGCAAAUAAACUCACAAACAUGUUCUUUUGUUUCAGCUGCGCUGCCGUGCCACUUAAUCAGCAGCGAUCAACAUGUGGCAAGGCCCGCAGCUUUCCCCGGGCAAGGCAGUGCCCCAUCAGAAUCUGCCAAAGUCACAGCAGGAACAGGUGGACAAGCUAGGUGCACACCGGAGACCUGUAAAAAAGCUGGGGUGCCCUCCCGUGCGCCUAGCCCCACCUCAUCGCCAGCUAAUAAAGGUGAUAAAAAUUUAAAUCAGACUACCAAUCCUGAUGAGGUACGCACUUGCAGUCUGGAGCCCAAUAAGCUACCUGGUGGGGCUGUGUCACAGACGAGAGGGACUGGAUGGAGGGACGCUCAUGACCGUAAACUGACUGCAUUCUUUGCUAACCUCGAGCGUGAAAGCGCAUUGCUUCGGGAAGGCUCUGUCGGUGGGGGUAGCCUACCCCCGCUGCCCCUACCUGUUUUAUCUCAAAAUCCCCCCCGACAACCUUCCACUGUUAUGGUGAGUGGAACUGAGAGAAGUCUUGCAAAGGAGGUCCUAAUUUCUUCUUCGCCCGAGCACCCAGUCUUAAUUGCGGCCCCAGAGGCACCAGAAACAGUCGACCUGACAAGUUUCAUGAAUGACCAGAUGGCCGGAGUGAGACGCAGCAUCGAUGCGUUGACUGAACAAUUACGGCCAGGUUCUCAGUGCCCAAAAUGAUAAAACUAUCAGAAAGUCAGAAUAUGACGUGAAAAAGCCAACAAAGAUAAUCAUCCACGGGUUCAUUGAUACUACUCUCAGCAAUUGGGUCAAGGAGAUGCGCCGAGAGUUGUUGAAAAGGGGUGACUGGAACAUAAUCACAGUGGACUGGGCAGGCGGAUCAUUGCCUUUGUACACACAGGCCACGGCCAACACAAGACUGGUUGGCCUCGAACUGGCAUACUUUAUCAACCAU
Neocloeon triangulifer is the source of this 3614-nucleotide RNA transcript. It is a transcript of the gene named pancreatic triacylglycerol lipase-like, with no coding region annotated. The transcript is spliced from 3 exons. The record is from RefSeq and is a predicted model, not a curated record. Lineage: Eukaryota; Metazoa; Arthropoda; Insecta; Ephemeroptera; Baetidae.